This is a non-coding RNA of Cinara cedri, 1248 nucleotides long. The record is from the annotation of a GenBank genome assembly. NCBI's taxonomy places the organism in Eukaryota, Metazoa, Arthropoda, Insecta, Hemiptera, Aphididae.
UUAUUAUUAUUAUUAUUAUUAUCAUAUUAUUAUUAUCAUUAUUAUUAUUAUUAUUAUUAUUAUUAUUAUUAUUAUUAUUAUUAUUAUUCAUUUUAUAUUAUAACACGCCGUCUCCUAUAGGGUCCGCGAGAGGUCGCGCAUAUAUAUACUCGCACGUGCGCGCAUCGCGUUCCGUGACAUAAAUAUUAUAUUAUUAUAUUUUUAAACGUCAGCUCCAAAGACGGUUUCUAUACUAUUUUAUCUAUUAUUAUUAUUAUUAUUAUUAUUAUUAAUAUUAUUAAUACUAUAUACACACAAAACAUAAACAGACACGCAGAAACACGUACACACACCGAACCGGGGUCGGCUUCCAAGCGCAUAACUUAAAAAUAUCUUAAAACUGAGUACUAAAUGAGCAAUAUAUAAUGUAAUAAAAAAACCUGUAGACACCCGUGUUUAAAAACGCAGAAAGGAAUAAUGACUAUGACAAUAACGCAAUAGCAUUUAGAGGCAAAUAAUUCGGCUAAAACCGAAAAAAUCCUAUUCUUGAAUUGUUUAAAUAUCUUAGGCGCUGAAUAAGUAGCAUGAGACCUAACCUAACCCCUAACCCGUUCCUUUCUGUUUCACGAAUAGCCAAAGUGUAAAAUGUGUUCACGUCCCACUGUCCCCGUGAAAAAUGGCCCCCCUCGAAUCGUUUUUGGUCUGUUUAGACUUAUGUUAAGGGUCUUUAGUUAACACUAAAUAACAUAUUCAAGCUUAAGCAGCACUAAAGUAAUUAUUAAAAUCUACGUAAGAUACUUAACGGAUAUUUCUAGACACCAUACACUGAUCUUUCGAUAAUUUCAGAGACGAUCGCCUCUUAAAUAACCCGUUCGCCACGCCACCCGGUUGUGCAUUUCAGGCUACCGGAAACGACUAUAGUGCGUCAGAAAACUCCAGUAAAAAGCCCCGAUAAACUGACUGCACAUUGCCUUGAUAUUUUCCAGACCGGUUCUGACACACACACGCACACACACAAAUAUUAAAAAAGUUCAUAUUAUAUUGGAAUAUUCCCCCGUCUGUAUCGUAUUAUAAUAUUUAUAUAUUAAUAUUACAUUAUAAAAAUAUUGUAUUUCGAAAAAUAAUAUGUCUAACGAAUAAAAAUACCAACGGAAUGUUAUUCAUGUUGAACGUGUUUGCGUAUAAUGUUAAUACGACCCCUGUGACGUUUGUGUCGUUGAAGGAACAACGUGAAAAUAUGUUUUUGCGAAAUCGGUAUACAAAAUACGC